AUGAGAAUCUAACUAACAGUUUCAUCCUGAAACCAUCCCCCCUGCCAUCUGCCAUCCAUGGAAAAAUUGUCUUCCACGAAACUGGUCUCUGGUGCCAAAAAGUUUGGGGACCACUGAUUUAGGACAUCAUUGUUCUGUUGGUGACUAAACAACAUUAAACUCAGUCAAGUGAGCCAGGCAUGGUGGUGCACACCUGUAGCCUCAGGGAGGACCUGUACUUGGGAGGCUGAUGUGAGAGGAUCACUUGAGCUCUGGAGUUUGAGACUAACCUGGGCAACAGAGACCCUGUCUCUAAAAGACAAAAAAAUUCAAUCAUGUGAAUUGCUGCCAAUAAUAACUAAAACUUAAUAAAAAUGUAUUUUGAAAUAAUAUCUACAGGUUACAAGUAAAAAGGACUACAACUUAAGAAUUUGGAAGAGUUGGCUGGGCGCGGUGGCUCACGCUUGUAAUCCCAGAACUUUGGGAGGCCAAGGCAGGCGGAUCAUGAGGUCAGGAGAUCGAGACCAUGGUGAAACCCCGUCUCUGCAAAAAAUACAAAAAAUUAGCUGGGAGUGGUGGCGGGCACCUGUAGUCCCAGCUACUCGGAGAGGCUGAGGCAGGAGAAUGGCGUGAACCCGGGAGGUGGAGCUCACAGUGAGCUGAGAUCGCACCACUGCACUCUGGCCUGGUCGACAGAGUGAGAUUCUGUCUCAAAAAAAAAAAAAAAAGGAAUUUGGAAGAGUUUAGAGACCCUGACAGAAAGAAAGCACAGAAAGACCCCACUCAGAAGGUACCACACCUGGCUGCAUGGCUUUAGACCAGUAAC
This 805-nucleotide long non-coding RNA is filed under the name Homo sapiens (human). RNAcentral's name for it is "HSALNT0045637". Lineage: Eukaryota; Metazoa; Chordata; Mammalia; Primates; Hominidae. The record is from RNAcentral.